Molecule: long non-coding RNA, 208 nt
Filed under: Elaeis guineensis (African oil palm)
Lineage: Eukaryota; Viridiplantae; Streptophyta; Magnoliopsida; Arecales; Arecaceae
Description: long non-coding RNA (EGUI_LNC046469)
Source: RNAcentral
CUUUCACUGCAGAUAUGGAUGCUGACGCAGCUCGAAUGCUAGCCCAGGGUCUCAAGGCCUACAAAAGGAAAGGCGCCACAUCCUCGGGGGUGAUGAAGAGGGCCAGGAUAGGGGAGAUGAGCUCAGUCGCACCUGCCUAGGUGGCCAUUGCCAUCGACACCCCCUCUGACGUCGAGCCCGCAGUCCCCCGAGCCUCUUCAAGAAGCCC